GAUCCUGGCUUAGGAUGAACGCUAGCGACAGGCCUAACACAUGCAAGUCGAGGGGCAACAUGGUAUCAGCUUGCUGAUACCGAUGGCGACCGGCGCACGGGUGAGUAACGCGUAUGUAAUCUACCUGUAACAGAGGGAUAACCCGGAGAAAUCCGGACUAAUACCUCAUAGCACAUAUUAUUCGCAUGAAUUUUAUGUUAAAGAGACUCGGUUACAGAUGAACAUGCGUUCCA
RNAcentral lists this ribosomal RNA (233 nucleotides) under uncultured bacterium. RNAcentral's name for it is "partial 16S ribosomal RNA". It matches the Rfam family "Bacterial small subunit ribosomal RNA", at positions 15 to 240 of the family's 1533-position model. The record is from RNAcentral.